Molecule: ribosomal RNA, 468 nt
Filed under: uncultured bacterium
Lineage: Bacteria
Description: partial 16S ribosomal RNA
Rfam family: Bacterial small subunit ribosomal RNA
Source: RNAcentral
GACGAACGCUGGCGGCGUGCUUAACACAUGCAAGUCGAACGGAAAGGCCCUGCUUUUGUGGGGUGCUCGAGUGGCGAACGGGUGAGUAACACGUGAGUAACCUGCCCUUGACUUUGGGAUAACUUCAGGAAACUGGGGCUAAUACCGGAUAGGAGCUCCUGCUGCAUGGUGGGGGUUGGAAAGUUUCGGCGGUUGGGGAUGGACUCGCGGCUUAUCAGCUUGUUGGUGGGGUAGUGGCUUACCAAGGCUUUGACGGGUAGCCGGCCUGAGAGGGUGACCGGCCACAUUGGGACUGAGAUACGGCCCAGACUGCUACGGGAGGCAGCAGUGGGGAGUAUUGCACAAUGGGCGGAAGCGUGAUGCAGCAACGCCGCGUGCGGGAUGACGGCCUUCGGGUUGUAAACCGCUUUCGCCUGUGACGAAGCGUGAGUGACGGUAAUGGGUAAAGAAGCACCGGCUAACUACGUG